UCUCAUAAUUUGAUUCAACAAACUUAUAAGCAAAUUGGUUUUAGUUUAGAUACAAUAUAAAUAUGUUCAACCUUAGUAUGACCAUCACUGAAAGUAGACAUUGCUAACUAUAAUACAUGAGAUUUUAAUAGCAUGGCCUUAUGUUUCCUUUCAAUCACUCUAUCAUGGAAUCAAGCAUGAGGUAGAAGCCCUAGGCAAAUCUGCUGCAACAUAAUCUUCAGGUUAUCGAACAUGUUUGGCAUGCUGAAAUUAUCUAUUUGCAAAUAUCAAACAUACAUUAUAAACAAUGACAAUAGACAAAAAGAGAGCCAACAAGUUUUAGCCUUUCACUUGGCAUACAUCAUGUGAUUUUAGCCACAAGGAUGUCUUAGAUCAUUGAAAAACUUGGCUAAUUUUUCAACUACUUGCCUGGAACUUUCUGUUGUUUAACCUGUUGCAACACAAAUCAAAGUAUCACAUGGCCAACUUUUAGGUACCUAAACUAAACAUCCAUAAAUGUACAAAGUUGUAGCAAGGAUCUCAUAUAUAAUGAAAAAAAUUUCACUAAACUGGCAAUUUUCAUUUUUCAAUUGGUUUAUGCGAUUAGAGUAAAAGCACAAGAAGUAAUAUAUGUUUGUUAGGAAACUAAAAACUAUAGAAGUAAUUGAUUUCUCUUCAAUAAAAGCUGAAGUUAUUUAAUUUGGCAAAAAAAAAAAAAAAAAAAAAAAAAAAAAAAAAAACCUUGCUUUGUUGAAUCUAAUAAUAGGUUCUGAGGUGGGAUUCAUUAGCUAAAGAGAAAUUUAAGUGAAGAUCUUGGAUUUCUCUCUAGCAUCCCUAAUUGUUAUGCAGAAGCAUAAGCAAUUAUACUUGGCCAUAAUUACUACGCUGGCUUGGUAGAAAUCACAUCCAAGUAAGGGAACAAAACAUGCAUUUAUACACCCCAACAAUCAAGCAGGGUAAAAGUGAAUUCCAGACUUCUAGACUUACCUUUUUCGUGAUAAAUUUGAAAUCUAAUCUCACCAUUUAUAGAGAUACUAAAAUGAAUAGAAAAAUCAAACAAAUCAUGUUAGUGGAAUAAAAAGAACAAUAAAAAAUUUGGAAAAAAAAAAUCAUCCUUACAAUGUUGAAGAGAGAUAAUUUGAAUUGUUUUAACUUUCCACUAUAUAUUUAAACUUAAAGUUCUAGUUAGUUCAAAAGCAAUGGAGUAGGGCAGCCAUUUAAUGGUACUGCUAUUUUCGUAGUAUGGGUUUUAUUUUAUUUUUCAAAUAUAUAUUGGUUCUUCACAUGCAUUUAACACCUAUCAAAUGUGCAAGAGUGAUGAAAUUGAAAAAACAUGUGAGAGAAAUAGCGAUGCAUAGUUGUGGACCCGCAUUUUUCAUGUGCGUCCCCACUCAAUCGGAGAGACUCGCUUUUAUUUUGGUGAAAAAUUAGUUUUGGAAAAGUCGGAGUCGCCACUUAUUUUAUUUUAUUUUUAAAAGGGAAAAUAAAACAAGAAAUAAAAUCCUUAAAGAAGUAACUCCAUAGUUUUCGGAAAAACGUGUCUUUGAAAAACCCGAGUCUUGGUUAGGGGAUCAGGUUACCUAUUAGAAAGGUACCUUUAAAAUGUAGCAUCCCUCUAAGCCCUAAAGAGGUCUCUAAUGACUAAGUUGAAGGGAAUGUAACAAUUAAUUAAUUGAUUUAUGGUACCUAGGUAGGCUAGGGUGAUUUCAGAAUUAGCAUGUCAAGUUAGAAAAUCAAAUCAUGGUCAUAAAAAAGAGUCAAAGUGUGUACCUGAACUACUUCGCAAGCACUAUCAUAAAACAUCAAAGUUAGUAUAGAAAUAUAAUACACAACAUGUGUUUUAUCCAAGCAAAUCAAGCAUACUUCUAGGCAUCCAAGGAUUAUAUCAAGCAUGGGUAUAGUCAUCAAUAGUAUACGUGUUCAUAGAAUUCUUGAAAAUAAGUGAGAAGGAGCGUACUUGGAUAGCAAACUAACUUAUAAUGCGCUUCCACAAGACAUGGGGGUUAGAUCAUAGUUAUAAUAAUAAUUAGUAAAGGAAAGAAUCUUAACAUGUUUGGUAUCUAAAUAACAUAGAAAAAAUUAUCAAGAGUAUACAAAACACCAAUUAUCUCAUACAUCUUGUAUACAAUUCCUAAAAAAUAUAUAGAUAGAUAUAAUUACAACAAGUAGUAAAGGUGGCAGCAAAGAUGAGUUUUGAAAAAAUGAUUUUAUAUAGGGGUUUCAACAAUUCCCCAAUUGAUAUACACAAAUUCCAUUUAUUUGAGACCACAAGCUUGGAUUCAUGUCUUACUCAAAACCGUAGUUUUUAUUGAAAACUGAGAAAGAUGCGAACCGAUCAAAACAUGGUUGCAUAUUAUUUAAGAAAAUGAGAUUUUGUUUCUAAGGACUCUAAAUGAAUUUUUUAAAAUAGAUUUUCAAAUGGAUCUUUUGAGAAAAGUGUUUUGUUUUAAAAUAAAAGAAAUAAAUUUGAAAACAAUAAAACAUAAGAAACAAGAUACCAAGCAAGACUAAAGAAAACAAAAUCACAAUGUAAAAAUUUUUUAUAACCAAGCAAACCAAUAUGGUGAGAGUAGGCUCAACCAUCAUGGGUUUCCAAUGGCCUUAAGCAAGAUCACAAGAUACCAAUCAAGAACUAACCACUGAAACUUUAAAAGCAUUUAGAUUUAAGAUAAAUCAAUCAAGAGCCAAUAAAUGAGUUUUAAAAUGAGACUAAUAAUAUGGGAUUAUUACAAAUUGCCAACUAAGUUUCAAAUAAAUAAUAAACAUCGUCGGGAUCAUCAAAACAACAUCUAAUAAUUUAAAGAACAACAUAAACUGGUAUAGACUAUCACAAAUCAAUAACUAACUACUCAGAGACAAACAUAAAUUAACAUAGAUCUUUAAAACCAACAACUAAGGAUUCUGAGAAAAAUGAAAAUCAACAUGGAUCAAUCAAAAUAACAAUUUUUAAUUUUAAGGACAACACAAAUUUAUGGAUCAAUCAAAACCAAAAACUAACAAUUUAAGGAGCAACAUAAAUUAAUAUGAAUAUUCAAAGUUAAUAACAAAUGAUUUUAUGAAAUGCGCACACUAACCUGGGUAUUCAAAAUUAACAACAAAUAAUUUUUUUCUUUUUUUAAAAAAAAGAAUUAAAUUAUUAACUAAAUAGAAAAAUAAAAAAGCAACAAUUAGCUCUUCUCAAUGUGCUUAAUAUUUUUAUUUUUUAAAAUGCUAACACCAAAUACUCAUUACAUGGUUGCAUAUGUUCAGUCCCAUUAACUUUAUUUUAUUCAAGCAUACAUCCAAGCAUUUCUUUACAUGAGUAAUUGUAUUGUUUCCGUUUAUAAAUUUUUAUUUUUUAUUCAAUCAAACUAGGCCUCCAACACCAAGCUAUCCAUGGCAGCACAGAUUGUUUCAAUUCAAGGAUUUUUUUUUCUUUUUUUUUUCUUUUUUAUUCAAACCACUAAGUUAAUAUAUAUCAACAAUUAUGUUCCCUUAUUAUUUUUAUUUUUAUUUUUUAAUUCAAACCACUAUAUCUUAAUAUAUAGUAACAUUUCAUAAUUCUUAACAUUCACAUAGAAAUUCAUCAACUUAUUCAUGAGGGAACAAAUAACCUAAUAAACUAAAAAAAGAAACCUCAAAACUUUUGAACUAAAUAGAAGCAAUCAAAACUAAAUUUAAAGACUUGAAAACACGAAUAUAACCACAUAGGAUUAAUUAAACUAAGAAACAAUUAAAAAUUUUAAAGCACAUAGGCUAAAUGGGAAUAAUUUAAAACUAAACUUAACAACUUGACAACAUGAAUAUAUUGACAUUGGAAUUAAUUAAAUUAAAUAACUACAAUUCUAGAACAACUAUGAAUUGAAACUGAUAUUCAUGAAUCAAAACUUAAAUAAAAAGAAUUAACUUAACUCUUUCACACAAGCAUGGGCCACCCUCCACCAAAAAUUCCAGUAGGAUGUUCAAUAAUGGUGCCAAGGAUGCAUGGUAUGAUGACUUCAAAUGCUCUACACAUUCCCUAAAGCACUGCACGUUAAUGGAGAAAAAUUCCCCUUAACAACUUGUUGCCUCUUGUUGUAUCUAAAGAUCACCCCUUCAGACUCAACAAGAGUAAUCAUAUUAACCUUACAAGAUAAUUCAGGAAAUAAGUGAUAGUAAUGCUACUAAUUUUAUGAGCAAAUUUUAUUACUUUUUUGUGUUUACCACAUUUUUUACAUCCAUUGAUGUAAAAAAAAAAAAAGAGAGAGUGGCCAAUGAUAUAUAAAAAUGUUUUGCUCAAGAGCUCUUUCUUACGUGUUGAGUACUAAAUAAUUAAUAUCUUCGUAUAAUAAGACAAGUUAAUAUCAUUCACUUCUUUUGAGAUUUUGGUUAAAUACAUUUAAUUUUUAUUGGCUUAAAAUUUUAUCAAAUAACUCCCUUAUCCUUUUUAUUAUUUUACUCACUUUUCUUAUCACUCAAAAUAAGGUGGAUAUUUAAUGAAAUUUAAAAUCAAUGAAGAGUCAAACAUAUCUAAUCAAAACUUGAAAGGAAGAGGGUGAAAUUAAUCCUAACAAAAUUGGUAGUUCAAGGAAUUCAAAAUAGAUCGAUGAAUGCAAGUACCUUGUAACAUCCAAGGAAAAAGCUUGUGAGUGGAGAUAACCCCCUUUAUUCUCAAAAACCAUGCCAAUGAAAAAAUAGCUAUAAUCAUAAAGUUUAGCUCUAAUAGAUUUAGAAGCCCCUUAAAUCCCAAUAUCUACACUUUUGAGAGAAUUUGUAACUGUGUAAGCCAUGACAUCGCACCUCGCCCUAUAUUCAAUUUGGUCAAUCUUUUUAACUUCAAAUGUUGAAAUACCUUGAGUCGAGAAAACCCAUUUACUGACACUUGCAUUUCCUUUCCAAGGUAUUAGUUUGCCCUUAAUCUAAGAAUCAAUAAUUUCGAAAGCUUCUCCUAAACAAGCAUAGGAUCACAUUCUAGUGAUGGGACUUGGAGGGAAUUGAAGGGCUUCAGGCAAUUUUUGCAUGUGUCCCUUCAUUUUCAACUUAGAGAUAUAGAGCCAAGAGUUCAUAGCAAAUGAUGGAAUGAUAGAUCCUUCCGAUUUCUUAAGGAACAAAGGAUUUAAGACAAUGUAGCUUGGCAGUGGAGUUUGAAAACCUAACCUCUUCUAUAACAUAUCUUCCUUCUAAUUUCAACUUCUCAAAACAGGUAUUUAACUUGGUUGAAUCAUUUUGGCUCCAUUGCUUGAACCUUAUGCUUAAUAUAGUCUAAAGAUUUUAUAGGGUAUCAAUUUGCAAUGGGGCAUCAUCCCCUUGCCCCUCUAUAUAAAGAUAUCGCAGGUUUUCCAUUUUCCUUAUCAUAUUUGUCACUUCAUUGAGAUUGUUCAUAUCCAAAGUCUUUAAACUCCUUAGGUUGCCUAUAGAUGUUGGAAGCAUUUUUAAACCUGAAUGCCUUAAUCUCAAGUACCUUAAAUGAAUUAGUGUCCCAACUAUACUAGGUAGGCUUUCAAUUUCCAAACCUUCCAAAUCUAGCACCCUAAGCACUUUGAAGCAUAUGCCAAAAUGUACUUGCAAAAAAAUUAUUACCAAAAAUGAAAAAAUGGGUGAAUGACUUCAAUUUCUGAAUGCCAAGAUAGCAUGUCCCAAAACAAUUAUUUGCCAUUAUUUGAAACUACUCAUUCAUGAUGAACAAAAUUUACUUUUUAUAUUGAUCUCGUAUUUUGAAAAAAAAUGCAAAAUCACUUUUGCAUUAAAAAUGCAAAAUCGCCAUUUUCAAAGAUAAGUUCAUUUUUUUUACUUUGAAAAGUUUUAUACAAGAUAAGUUCACUUCUUUACUGUUGAACUUGCAUUUUUAUUUUUAUUUUUGAAAGACAAUUCUAUUAAUGGAUUGAUUUUUAAAAAAAUUAUAUCACCUAGUGCAAAAAGCCCAAACCUACCACUUUCAAACCAAUAACAAUAACACUUUUGCAUGCCAAGCUAAGCCUUCAAAUACAUCAUCCUAAUUGUCACUUAAUAUACAUAUAAUUGUACAAACAAACAUCUAAUAAUUUGAUUCAACAAACUUAUAAGCACAUUGGUUUUAGUUUAGAUACAAUAUAAAUAUGUUCAACCUUAGUCUGACCAUCACUGAAAGUAGACAUUGCUAACUAUAAUACAUGAGAUUUUAAUAGCAUGGCCUUAUGUUUCUUUUCAAUCACUUCAUGGAAUCAAGCACGAGGUGGAAGCCCCUGGCAAAUCUGCUGCAGCAUAAUCUUCAGGUUAUCGAACAUGUUUGGCAUGCUCAAAUUAUCUGUUUGCAAAGAUCAAACAUACAUUAUAAACAAUGACAAUAGA
This 6264-nucleotide long non-coding RNA is filed under the name Vitis vinifera (wine grape). RNAcentral's name for it is "long non-coding RNA (VVIN_LNC000608)". Lineage: Eukaryota; Viridiplantae; Streptophyta; Magnoliopsida; Vitales; Vitaceae. The record is from RNAcentral.